UACGGAGGGGGCUAGCGUUGUUCGGAAUUACUGGGCGUAAAGCGCGCGUAGGCGGCUUUGUAAGUUAGAGGUGAAAGCCCGGAGCUCAACUCCGGAAUUGCCUUUAAGACUGCAUCGCUUGAAUCAUGGAGAGGUGAGUGGAAUUCCGAGUGUAGAGGUGAAAUUCGUAGAUACUCGGAAGAACACCAGUGGCGAAGGCGACUCACUGGACAUGUAUUGACGCUGAGGUGCGAAAGCGUGGGGAGCAAACAGG
RNAcentral lists this ribosomal RNA (253 nucleotides) under uncultured bacterium. RNAcentral describes it as "partial 16S ribosomal RNA". It matches the Rfam family "Bacterial small subunit ribosomal RNA", at positions 524 to 776 of the family's 1533-position model. The record is from RNAcentral.